GAUGAACGCUGGCGGCGUGCCUAAUACAUGCAAGUCGAGCGAACAGACGAGGAGCUUGCUCCUCUGACGUUAGCGGCGGACGGGUGAGUAACACGUGGAUAACCUACCUAUAAGACUGGGAUAACUUCGGGAAACCGGAGCUAAUACCGGAUAAUAUAUUGAACCGCAUGGUUCAAUAGUGAAAGACGGUUUUGCUGUCACUUAUAGAUGGAUCCGCGCCGCAUUAGCUAGUUGGUAAGGUAACGGCUUACCAAGGCGACGAUGCGUAGCCGACCUGAGAGGGUGACCGGCCACACUGGAACUGAGACACGGUCCAGACUCCUACGGGAGGCAGCAGUAGGGAAUCUUCCGCAAUGGGCGAAAGCCUGACGGAGCAACGCCGCGUGAGUGAUGAAGGUCUUCGGAUCGUAAAACUCUGUUAUUAGGGAAGAACAAAUGUGUAAGUAACCAUGCACGUCUUGACGGUACCGAAUCAGAAAGCCACGGCUAACUACGUG
This 497-nucleotide ribosomal RNA is filed under the name uncultured bacterium. RNAcentral's name for it is "partial 16S ribosomal RNA". It matches the Rfam family "Bacterial small subunit ribosomal RNA", at positions 28 to 507 of the family's 1533-position model. The record is from RNAcentral.